GUAGGUGGCAAGCGUUGUCCGGAAUUAUUGGGCGUAAAGCGCGCGCAGGCGGUUCUUUAAGUCUGAUGUGAAAGCCCACGGCUCAACCGUGGAGGGUCAUUGGGAACUGGAGAACUUGAGUACAGAAGAGGAAAGCGGAAUUCCACGUGUAGCGGUGAAAUGCGUAGAGAUGUGGAGGAACACCAGUGGCGAAGGCGGCUUUCUGGUCUGUAACUGACGCUGAGGCGCGAAAGCGUGGGGAGCAAACAGGGAUUAGAUACCCUGGUAGUCCACGCCGUAAACGAUGAGUGCUAAGUGUUAGGGGGGUUUCCGCCCCCUUAGUGCUGCAGCUAACGCAUUAAGCACUCCGCCUGGGGAGUACGGCCGCAAGGCUG
Molecule: ribosomal RNA, 374 nt
Filed under: uncultured organism
Description: partial 16S ribosomal RNA
Rfam family: Bacterial small subunit ribosomal RNA
Source: RNAcentral